GUGCUUUUUCUCUUUCUCAUAAUCUUCACCAGUUUUGCCUUCAUCAGUAGUCUCUUCAAAAUUAGUGGUCUCAGAUGAGUAGGCAGCUCCUUUUCCAUAGGUAUCUCCUUCACCAUAAUUAGUUUUCUCUCCAUAGGUAGUUUCAGAUGGAACAUCUCCAUAGCCACUCUUGUUUUCAUAGCCACUCUCUCCAUAACUAGUCUUAUUUUCAUAGCCACUAUCUCCAUAGCCACUCUUGUUUUCAUAGCCACUAUCUCCAUAGCCACUCUUGUUUUCAUAGCCACUAUCUCCAUAACCAGUCUUAUUUUCAUAGCCACUAUCUCCAUCGCUAGUCUUAUUUUCAUAGCCACUAUCUCCAUAGUUACCUCCCUCACCAUAACUAGUUUUCUCUACAUAUCCACUUUCUCCAUAGUCAGUUUUCUCACCAUAUUUGUUAUCCCCAUAGUUAUCUCCCCCACCAUAACUAGUUUUCUCACCAUAUGUAUUCUCUCCGUAGGUAGUUUUUUCAGUAUCACCACCAUAUGGAGUUUCUCCAUAGGUAGUUUUGUCUUCCUCCUUGUCCUUGUGGUGGAAGAGACCGAAGUGGUGCUUCUUCUCUUCAGCCAUUUUGGUGAUAAAUGUGAUGGUUGACGAGUUUUGAAAAAAGUAGUAGUACGUACAAUAUACUUGGGUGCUGUUGGGAUGUUUUCUCUUGUUAAUAUUGAGUGGUAUUUAUAACUACUGUUGGUUAUAACUAGCUAGCCUAUGAGUUUGGAACUUGAGUUAGUUGAUGUGAGGACGACUAAUUUGUUUGUCCAGUGACCGUGUGUACGAGUUUUAUCCAAUGUUCGCACCUCUUUAAUUUGCAUGAAGGAAGUUUGUUACGUAGAUUUUUCAAUCCAUGUGGCGAAAAUCGACGAAUGCUUAAUUGUUAUGCCGACAUGAUACAUGACUCGCAUGCAUAUUCAUUUAUUGAGUUUUAGUGAGACAAACUUUAUUUCCGUCAUUAACUGCUUUAACUACGUAUGAUAUAUACGAUACGAAUAAUUAUAAACCUCUUUGCUGCGCAUUUUUUCUAGCUAACAUUAAGAAUUAGAUCAGACACUAUCAUGCAACAAAGAAAAGGAAGUGGCGAUAGAAACAACAAAAAAAGAUAAUGACAAUUGAGGAAUGGGUAACGAGUUUAUGUAUACCACCCACGUAACCUUCAAAACUCAAAUAUCGUGGGAGGAUUUAUGUUUAGUCUUUAGAAUACAAUUAAACUUCUAAAAUCGUCCAAAAAGGGAAAAGAAGGGGAAAAAGACUAAACAAAUUACCAUUUUCCUAUGUUUUGAAUUAAGUAUCAUAUGUAUAUAAGUUUUUUUCGGAAAUAUAGGGUUUAGUCCUAAUCCUAUAUGUCUGUGCCUUUGGCCUCAAAAUACUCUAGUCAGCCUCAACUUUUGUGUGUGUCGAUUGUCAAAACUAUACCUAUCUCAAUUCUUAGUUUACCCAAUGAACUGAGGCCCCAUGUCAUAUUGUUCAUUCUCCAAAUAUCUGGUUUUAAACGUGACGUGCGAGAGAAUGUGUGUCGAUUAAUUAGAACGUUCCACAUUAGUAAUCGAAUAUUGUCUUGAGUAAUCCUUACAACAUGAUCGUCAAGUUUUUUAGAUGAAUUUAUUAGUCCCAAUAUCCAUCUUCUUAACAAUGUCCUACAUAGUUAGGCUGAAAAUUAACUCAAUGUAGGCUUAAUUAUAAGUAGGCAAGUAGUCCAUAUUCAAAUGGAUGUCACCUUCACGGCUUCUCCAUUGAAGACCGGAAGGUUGAGGAGCUAUCUACAUAUAUACACACUGUCAGGAUUGCAUGCAACCCUAUAUACUUAAUUAUGUGAAAAUCUAAAUAUGCUUAAUUAUGUGAAAAUGUACAUAUUUUAAUUUCCCAACCUUCUUCUUUAAGAUAUAUAAAUUCAUACGGUGAUUAAAAGAUAUUUGAAACAUCGUAUAUUAGCUUUCAGAAAUAUGGAGUCUUUGGUUCAAAAAUACACGUGUGUUCCGAGCAUUUGCUAUACACUUGACCAAUAGCGAGGUUACUACUCACUCCGUUAUGUAAUCUAUUUCCUUUUUGGUCCGUUAAAAAAAAAAAGACCUUUUUCUAAAUUUGGAAACAAUUUUGGUAAACUUAAAAUUCUACCCUUAAUGAGAAGCUUUUAUAACCACACAAAUACUCUGGACCCUUUUUUUGACUUGUUUAGGACCACAAUUUGCAAAAGUCUUCAUUUUUUCUUAAACUCCGUGCUCAGUCAAACAGAUUUACAUAAAUUGGAACGGAGGGAGUACAAUUUUUUUGAAUUCAGAUAAUCUUUAUCAAUUGUCAUAUUAACAUGUGACUAUUUUGGUAAAUUUUGCUGAAUUAAUGUUAAUGCAUGACUAAGUUGAAAUUAAAUACAACCAUUAAUUAAACUGGUCUAUGCUUACAAGUUUGAACAACAUGACCCUUAACCUAAGCUUUAAUGGGUAUAAUUAUUAAUGAUUGAUACUUUUAUUAGUGGAAGAAUGCGAGUGCAAUAGUUAAGAUGCACAGCACUGUAUGUUAUCAAGAAAGAAAAUUGAGCAACAUAACUUUUUCCUUUCUAAAAAUUUGUAAACUUCCACGAGUGCCACGUUAUAUGUAGAUUUAUGACCCCAUUAGAAGCACAAAAUAAAAAUAUAUAUACUAUCUCAUUAAAAGCAGAAAAUAAAAGGAACAAAAAAAUCAAAAUCAUCAAUAGCAAUUUAUUUCAUUAUCCAUUCUAAUGGAAUUAAAAACAUCGCUAGCUAAUUAACUUUAUUGGCUUCGAUACAAUACACUGAAAACUAUUACGAUCUCCAAAAUAAAAAAAAGAAGUAAAAGUUGGAAAUCACAAAUGGAGAUCUUGAGUAUCUUUGAACCGAAAUCCCAACUCAUCUUCCACAUGAAUUGCUUGAUAGUAAUCUUUUUCAUAACUAUACGAUAUUAAAGUAUGGAUAGCAAUAAAAAGGGUCGGCAUUGCCAUUAUGAUUAGGACCCAUAUUUUGGCAUCUGUUGAAUUUUGAGGAGUGUCGGCAAACUUUUUAGGUAUAUUCAGUCGAACAGUUUCUUUGCUUGCCUUUUAUUUGUUGGUUUAUUGUCUUUGUCCUUCCAACUGCCAUUCUAAUAUCUGAAAACGGAAAAGAGAGGAAAUGGUAUUCUUUUUUUUAUCCCAUCAAAAUGAUCAUUAGUGUUUGCACUUAUUUUUUCACUUACUCGAACCUUUAACCUAUUGGUCAAUGAUGGAGGUGCUCAAAUAUUAAAGCAACUCUCACUUGUCUAAAUUAUUUAUCAUUUUUUUAAUACUUUUUCUAAGGAUCUUAUAUUCGGACUACUAAUUCGAUUAAUUUAAAUUUAUAUUAGUUGAUCCACGAAAGAAGUGAAGCGUUUCUUAAUAAGAGCAUCUAUAUUCUUAAGGUUUGAUUAAAAUUAAUAUGACUGGCUGAUUUGAGAACCUACUAAGUUAGAGUAACAACAAAAGAAUUUAUAGUGGAAAAAGAAGAUUUUCAUGAUGGAAAAAAAGAAGAAUAUUUUCAUGACCUUAUAGGAAACAUGUUCUAUUUUUAACUGUUAAGAUAAAGUUAUACUGAAACAAGAUUGUUUUUUUAUAAAUCGAUUUUCCAAAUUAAGAGACAAGCAUCGAACUAUCGAAGUAAUAUUUGAUCAAGAAAAUGUUUGCUAAAAGUAUGUUUCACAUCUCACCAAAUUGACCCUUCUGUAUCUCACUCUCUUCCUCGACUCUUGUUAUUUAGUGAUUUUUUUAAUACUUGCAUUUUCCAAAUUAGACAUUUUAAAAAAAAAUCUUCUUUACAUCAGUGGUUUAUAACGAGCCGACCAAAAUAGCUGGAGGGACAAAAGAGGAAGCCACCUCAUUUCUGUGGGAUUUAAGUUAUAUAUAUACUUAGUAUAAUUUAACGUACUACCUUAUUACUGCAAUUUAUAUUAGGUGACUAAUAAAUACUAUUAUUAAAUAAAAUUGCAUGCAAUUACUGACCUGAUUUUUAAGUAAUUUUUACACAAUUAGUGUAUACAGUAAUUGAACUUAAACUCAUUUAUGUUUACUAGAGUUGGUUCUUGUUUAAUUUGGAGCCACUUUUAGGAGCUUAAAGGAAACAAAAACAAGGAUUUAAAUAUAUAGCGUGUACAAAAUAAUGUCAAGAAUAAAAUACAUAUACUAAGACUGGUGAUUUUCAUCGUUCAUGCAUAAAAGUUGUUGUUUAAUGCAGGGUCCGAGUUAGAAGUCUGGCUACAUUUGGCAAAACUCCGUAUCUUUUGCUCAAGCAGUGUAUUUGAGUUAAAAUUUUCGCUAAGUAUAUAUAAAUAUUAAAUUUAGAACCCAAUUAUUAAUAUUUAAAAUCGUCGUUUUAAAAUCCAGAACCUAUAAAAUUGAAAUUUUGACUCCGCCUCUGAUUUAACGUUGGAAACUAUUUUCUUGUGUCCUUUUUUUAUUCUUCCAUUCAUUGUUUAUCUUCUUCUUAGUAGGUUUGUAUAAAUUAGCAUUAUAAUUAGGGACGGAUAACUGAACCCUCAGAUCGAGGGAUGAAAAUUUCUGCCCUCUUAGUUAUCCUAAAUCCUAAUUAGCACUACUACUAUUUCCACCAACCCUCUGGACUUCCACUCUUUCUUACAAUUUAUUAAAAUUAUAGGACUACAGUAUGCGUAUGUGUAAAUAGUUACGGUAAAGAUAUUUUAAAAUAUAUAGAGUAAUACAUUCACAGCUCUAAAAUUUUGGAUUAUUAUAUAUGUAUUUAAGGUAAAAAUUUAGGUCGAUUUUCAAAUUUAGGUGAAGUUCAAUGAAAAUUUUAAGAAGAUAAACCUCUUUGAUCAAGUCGCAAAGUCCACAUGCAUAUGUGAUGUUCGGAGAAAGUGAUAGAUACCUGAUAUUUACAGUUUUUAUUUUCUUUUUCUUUUUGUGAGGGUGUAACUUAGGUAUUAAAAACCAAAAAUGUUGGUAUAACAUUAAUUUUCUUUCUCUUCGUUUACGAAAUUAUAUAACUAUUUUUCUUACGAGUUAUGCUUUAGUUUGAAUUUUAUCAUCACCUUCAUCCUAUUAAAAAAAUAAUUAUAAAUCAAAUAGCAUAAUUAAGGGCACAAGUCCUAACAAUCUGAAAUAAAUGUAUCAUCAUCUUGAUGGGAUAAGCUCGUUAGAUGUGCUCAUAUCCCGUUCUAAGUCGUUGACAAACUAAAUUGAUAUAUUGAAAUCUUGUUAAUUAAAUGCUUUUCCAUAUAUNNNNNNNNNNNNNNNNNNNNNNNNNNNNNNNNNNNNNNNNNNNNNNNNNNNNNNNNNNNNNNNNNNNNNNNNNNNNNNNNNNNNNNNNNNNNNNNNNNNNNNNNNNNNNNNNNNNNNNNNNNAAUUGAUGAAAUGGCCCGACAUUGAACAAGAUCGACAAAGUAAGACUAGAUACCAAAAAACAAACCAAAUAGUAAUUAGUAGGUAAAAGAUAAGUUACCACGACGAAUGGAAUGUUACGUGUAGUAUUUUAGUAUGUAAUACGGAAGAUAUAGUGGCCAAAAACUGCAUCUUAUUAUCCCAAAAGAAAAGGAGAAAGUAUAUUUAUUGUGAAUAUUAUUAUCAUUAUGAUUCAAUUAACCACAAUAUUUAUGAUAAAGAAGUGGAAGAAUAUCCAUUGUGAUAUCCGCACCAACACAAGUUAGUUGAUAUAUACAUAUGGAGCGUUGAGUGUCGACAAUUAGUGGGGGUGGGCUUCUGAUGUGAAAUGUGAAUCACAAGAAUCCCUCAUAUAAUUCACUUCUUUAUUAUCUUUAGAGAGAAAUUAAAGCAGCUGAGUCAAAUGGUCCUUUGAAUUAUUACUUGAUUGGACCUUUCGUCAUCAUUGGGUCCAUUUAAUUGAACGUGUCGGCAAGUCUUGAUUCUAGUCGUUCGAUUCAAUCCCAAACCAUAUCCUUUUUCUUUUCAAAUAUGCUAGUAUUACAUUGAGUGAUCUCAAAAAAAAAAAAAAUAAAAAAAAAAAAAUUUACACUAACGAAUAUUAGAUUUGUCUUUUAUGAAUACACACAACACUAAUCAGUGAGAAAAUGGAGAUGCUUGACAAAUUAAAAUGAGGAUGAAGGAGAUCUAAUCAACUUGAAAUUAGUUCAAAAAAUUUCACUCUGAUUUACUUGCAAAGGAGGAAUUUAAAAGAAGUGUUAUACUAAAUUACUACUCUCUCCGUCCCAAUUUAUAUGGCGAUAUUUGACUCGGCACAAAAUUUAACAAGAAAAAAAAAAGAUAACUUGUGGUCUAAAAUAAGUUAGAGAUAUUUGUGUGCCUAUAAAGUAUCUAAAGAUAAAAUAGAAAAUUUAAUGUUGAAUUAUUUUUAAAAUAAAGAAGUAUUACAUUAUUUUUGCAAAAGACAAAAAAAAAAAUGCUAUUGUUUACCUAGCUUAUCCUCUCAUGUCUAUUUUGCUAUCUUACUAGCUAGCGGAUAUGUGGUGGUGGUGGUGGUGGUGGGGUUGGGGGGUGGGGGUUACGACCCACCAACUGACAUUUUCUUCUACUAACUCUUGUAAUAUUGUGGUUCAACUUGGCAGUUUAAACGCUCUACGUAGCACAUAUAUGCAUGCACUGAUACUAAUUCAGUUUAAUACUAAUAUUGUAUAUCGUCUCUCUACAAAAUAGCAAAAACUUACCUUGACCUAAAAAAAUAUCGUCUCUCUAAAAAAUAACAAAAGCUUACCUUUACCUCAAUAUAGCAUCAGAUUAGUGUGUCAUACUCCCGUUCAUUUUGCUUAGUACCUUACAUGAGCCAAAACCUGAUCAUCAUGUAGACCUCGUUUGUUUUCACUUACUUAACGUCUGGAUCUGAAUCCUUUAGGCACGUCAAUUCUAGAGUUUGUGUUUGUUCUAUAUAUUUGUAAAUGAUUUUUCGUUACUAUGUGCUGGAAAUUAAACAAGAUUAACUAGUAUUCUAACAUCGUCUAGGAUUUGGUAUUUACUAGUUUAUUUAAUUUAUGUCUAAUUAGGAUUCACAACCAAAAUCACGUAGGAAUAUAUUUUUCUAGAUUCUAGUCAAAUUUGGAUUGUAGUAUUAUAAAUGUGGAUGCUACAACAUAUUUUCUAUUGUAGAGAGGUAACUACAAUUAGUGGCGAAACUAGAAAUUUUUCCAAGGGUAUUCAAAUUUGAAAGAAGUGAAAAAAGAUUCCCUACAAAAGGGUGUUCAAUAUGUGUUAUAUACCUCUCAAACGUAAUAUUUUACCUUAUACACAGUGCAAUUUUUUGACGAAGGAUGGUCAAGUGACCACCAUUGUGAAUAUGUGGCUUCGCCACUGACUACGAUGUAAAGAGAUUCAAGAGUUUAUGUCACGCCCCGAACCUGGGCCUGGACGUAACACGACACCCGGUGCCUGACUACAUGUGGCCGAGCGAACCAACUGGCUGGCUGAAUCAACAUGUGAUAUCAUAACAUACUGAAUGCGGAAGAUAAACUAACACAUGAUGAUAUAAUGAAAGUCUGAAUUAUGUAGCCAAAAUUACUUAACAUGAAAAGCCUACGACUCUGUCUAACUAUUACUCUAGUCUAUGAAGUCUCUAAUGAAGUACUGAAAACAUCGACUGUCUGAAAAUACUGAAGAUUGUAAGGUAAUGAUAAUGCCCUGAAAGAACUGGGGAUCACCAAUUUGAAUUACACUGGUAUGUAAAGAAACUAAAAGAAAGAACUGUAAAUGCUGAAACUGAAACUGAGCCGAUAAUUGAGAACUGAUAACUGAAAUGAUAACUGCUGAAAUUGAAACUGAAAUGAUAACUGCUAACUGAUAACUGAUAACUGAACAAAGGAAGUAAGGAUAUGAAUACUCCUUCUUCGGAAUGAUGAACCACCUGCUUAUCUGAAUAAACUACGGUCUUGGGCCCAAUAUAUAUGUUCACAAGCUACGGCCUCAGGCCCAAGUUUACCUAUACAUAACUACAGCAUCAUGCCCAAAAAUGCAUAAAGCAUAAACUACAGCCUCAGGCCCAAACAUGCAUAAAACAUAAACUACGGCCUCUGGCCCAAGUAUGCAUAGAGCAUAUAAACUAAGGUCUCAUGCCCAAAUACAGGUGUUCAACAUUAAGGGAUUUAAAUUCAGGAACUGAGAAUCAUACUGCAAUAUGCGAUGCUAAAAUAGUGAAUCAUAUUGAGUUACAUGAUAUUGGAAUACUAAUAGGACUAGACUGAGACAUGUAUUCUUAAUCUGAUUAUGAAAACUGAAACUUCAAUUGUUUAUGACAUGUUGAGUAAUCUAGAUUGAGACUCAUGGGUAUCAAACCCAAGUCUAUAUUGAUUACACACUAAGCUCACAACGUUCAGAAUGAAAGUCAUGAACGAGUUAUGAAGCUGGAUAAUAGAAGUUCUGCAACUAAUCAAGGAACUAGGCUUAACUAUAUUUCUAAGGCAAUUAGUAACGUCGUAAAAGAAACGUAGUGUAGGCAGAAUCAUUAACAUUUCCAAACAUAGAGAGUUAGCCUCACAUACCUUAAUUAACUUCUUGUUGUUGAGCGUAAUACAACAUUCGCCAACCCUUUCAACUUUAAUCUAUAUCAAUACAAGUUAAAUGAUUCCAUAUUAGCAAUAAUACUCAUAUUUUGAUCACUUAGGCAUUCACUACUAGAAAUCCAGAAACAACUAUCCAAUAAACCGACCAAAAUCGAUCGGUAAUGGCCAGUAACCGUCCAAAAAGUGACCAUUUACGUGUGGUCGGUAUUUUGAAGGUCAGAAGAGCAUAAUGACCAAAGUUGAUAAGAAAUUACCGACCAACAUUGGUCGGUAUGCUCUACACGACUAUUUGACAAUUUAAUUGACUUAACGACCAAUAAUGGUCGGAAUGUUAUUUUAAUAAUUUAAUUUUACCGACCAACAUUGGUCGGUGUAUUAAAUUUAUUAAUUUUGCUUACCGACCAACUUUGGUCGGUAUUGAAAAAUUUAUAUUUUUAAUAAAUAAUUAAAAUUUAUAAAUACCGACCAACGUUGGCCGGUAAUCCGAACAGGGCAGCCAACUUACCGACCAAAGUUAGUCGGUAGUGUUGAAUUUAUGGGAAUUCAAUGUGCAUUAACCGACCAACAUUGGUCGGUAUUUUGUAAUUUAAUUUUUUUUAUUAGUUACCGACCAAGGUUGGUUGAUUUUCUAGGACUAAUUUUGGCAAAAAAUACUUAUUUUGGUAACUACACCACCUGUCAAAUAAAAAUAACAUACCAAUACCCCCAAUUUAACACAAACAACUCCUAAUUCACCACAAAUUCAACAAAAUAUCCAAUUAAUACUUUAAAACUAAUAAAGUUCAAUUAAACAUCACAAUCCAAAACCAAGCAAAAACUAAGUAAUUACAACAAGUUCAAAAGUGUUCAAUCUAAUUCAAAACUAGUUCUAUUAGUCUAGUUCAAAGUAUACUAAAGUAUUGGUCAAGGGGUGUUUUCUACAACAUCAUCACUAUCUUAUGAACUUUCAUCUACAAGACGGUAUAGAGAACGGUGUUGUGGAGGACUUGAAGAACGAUCACGGGGAGGACAGGAGGAACGAUCACGUGGAGGUCGAUCCUCUCGCGAUAAAUCAUGAGACCGGGGCAACAGAAAAGCUCCAGUAUAAAGGAGAGUUCUAAUCUGAGCUUGCAUAUCAAGGAAUUGAGCAUCUGUAAGCCUUUCUCUUUCUUUGGCCGCUUCUAGCUCGGAUGUAAGCCUUGUCAUUGUCUCCUACAUAGCCGAGAGGCCCUCCCUAUUAAGUGUCUCGCCCUGUGAGGAAGUCCACAUUCCUUGCAUUCCACACCUAUAACGGUGAAAUAGUUUCUCAGGAAGCCUGUAUACCUUCCCCCUUUUUGGACCACCAAUAACCUCUAACCAUAUUCUUUCAGCAUCCUCAUCCGAAGGUUGGGUUGGCUCGCCCGAUGCACCAUCUGGCUGACUACGAAUGAAUUCAUGCACGUUACUUUGGUAGCGACCCUACGUUAUUUUAGAUUAAAUUAGUAUUUAAAAAUUCUUAUAUAAGUAAAUUAUAACACUUAAAGAAAAUUUAAAGCUUACAUAUGCAGUCUCUGCCCGGUCCUCGACCCACCUAUCUGCAUCCCCCUAUUUCUUCUUCUUUAAAAUAUGUGUUUCCUUGAAUAGCUCAUCACGGCUCAUUGGACGUCCAUACUUCUUUUCCUAAAAAAAAAUUAAUUUAGUUAAUAAAUAGAAUUAAUAUACUUAGAAAAGUAAAUGAUUUAAGCAAUUACCAAUCUUCUUCUUAUUGUCCAGAUGCUAAUAGCACCCCCAGUGUGCAAGGAGCCUCCCUUCUCGGAUGAGCGAGCUUUAUGUCCUUGUUCGCUCCUCUUUAAGAAAUCCUCUGUCUGCCAUUGCCUUAACAAAUCAUCCCAUAAAUGCUGCAGGCACCAAUCAGGCCUCUUGUUCUUCUUUCUACCAUCUGAGAAAUGAUCCGCCAAUCUCUUACGGGCUUUGUGAUAAAAAUUUGCAGCCACUUUCUC
This 10430-nucleotide long non-coding RNA is filed under the name Nicotiana tabacum (common tobacco). RNAcentral describes it as "long non-coding RNA (NTAB_LNC002021)". Lineage: Eukaryota; Viridiplantae; Streptophyta; Magnoliopsida; Solanales; Solanaceae. The record is from RNAcentral.